RNAcentral lists this ribosomal RNA (446 nucleotides) under Escherichia coli. RNAcentral describes it as "partial 23S ribosomal RNA". It matches the Rfam family "Bacterial large subunit ribosomal RNA", at positions 603 to 1049 of the family's 2925-position model. Lineage: Bacteria; Pseudomonadati; Pseudomonadota; Gammaproteobacteria; Enterobacterales; Enterobacteriaceae. RNAcentral also lists the same sequence under 1 other name. The record is from RNAcentral.
ACCUUUUGUAUAAUGGGUCAGCGACUUAUAUUCUGUAGCAAGGUUAACCGAAUAGGGGAGCCGAAGGGAAACCGAGUCUUAACUGGGCGUUAAGUUGCAGGGUAUAGACCCGAAACCCGGUGAUCUAGCCAUGGGCAGGUUGAAGGUUGGGUAACACUAACUGGAGGACCGAACCGACUAAUGUUGAAAAAUUAGCGGAUGACUUGUGGCUGGGGGUGAAAGGCCAAUCAAACCGGGAGAUAGCUGGUUCUCCCCGAAAGCUAUUUAGGUAGCGCCUCGUGAAUUCAUCUCCGGGGGUAGAGCACUGUUUCGGCAAGGGGGUCAUCCCGACUUACCAACCCGAUGCAAACUGCGAAUACCGGAGAAUGUUAUCACGGGAGACACACGGCGGGUGCUAACGUCCGUCGUGAAGAGGGAAACAACCCAGACCGCCAGCUAAGGUCCCA